AUGCACCUCUGACAGACCUGGAGCAGUUAAUACCUGCUGCUAAGAUUUCCACUACAGAUGUAAGAAAAAAGUCUUCGUGCUUUCUAUCUGUCUGGUUGUGCCAGUCACAAUUGAAUGGGGGAAUAUAGGA
RNAcentral lists this small nucleolar RNA (130 nucleotides) under Dasypus novemcinctus (nine-banded armadillo). Its description in RNAcentral is "Small nucleolar RNA SNORA31 (ENSDNOG00000033187.1)". Lineage: Eukaryota; Metazoa; Chordata; Mammalia; Cingulata; Dasypodidae. The record is from RNAcentral.